This 262-nucleotide long non-coding RNA is filed under the name Malus domestica (apple). RNAcentral describes it as "long non-coding RNA (MDOM_LNC015184)". The record is from RNAcentral. Lineage: Eukaryota; Viridiplantae; Streptophyta; Magnoliopsida; Rosales; Rosaceae.
GUCCUCCACUUUGAAAGAGUGAGGCUUGGCCCCAUAGUCAUAAUAGUCGACGGUACGUUCACCCCUGGUUGUCUUGAUACGAACUUUUAUCCCUCUUGUUGUAAUGGGCUUGCUGAGAGUAAAAAUCUUUCCUCUUACCAAGAGACAGAUACGUUUGGUGACUUAGCGAGUAGCUAAAUGAGGCAGGAGAUGAUGCAAUGGGUGUCUGAAUGGCCAAUAUCUCCUCACUUGGUAGAACUUGACUUCCACUUCCCAUUUGUUG